RNAcentral lists this long non-coding RNA (841 nucleotides) under Numida meleagris (helmeted guineafowl). RNAcentral describes it as "lncRNA (ENSNMEG00000017734.1)". Lineage: Eukaryota; Metazoa; Chordata; Aves; Galliformes; Numididae. The record is from RNAcentral.
CAGUUCACGGUGCUUUUUAGUGCACUUGGAAACAUCUUCUCACUCUAAGAAAUUUUUGCUGUAACCCAGGAAAGAGAAAGAACAGGAGAGUGGGAGUUCAGUAGUAACAGGAACACAGAAAUCAUUAGGCUGACCUAGACAAUAGGAAGAUGCAGAAUAUUUUAGUAAGGUGCGGUAAUAACUGUCACCUGCAAAAUGUCCAUCAGCACUUCUGCAAACUCUUUCCACCAUUCUCAACAAGAUAGCAAAGGAUAAGUCUAGUUGCAGCCAUUGAGCCUUUGGUUUUCUCACCUUCCUGCUCACCUCUUUUGCCAAGACAAAUCUGGGUCCUUCUCUGAAUAGUCACCUCUGGGCACAAAGCCACAAAAUGAGAUGACUGAGGCUCAGCUGGGAUAUAGAUAUCAAGGCUAGGAAUUCCAGUCCACACAUCUGCAAAGUUUAUCACCUGUGUUUUUGCUAAUAAAGAUCCCAAGACAUCUAACAUCCUUCUUCUGCUUAUGCUUGUUGGCCAGGCAGUCACCAGCUUAACGAGGCUGAAUUUCAGGAGAACCUCUUCAAAAAGCAUCCUGGCAAAGCAUGUGUAACACACAACGAGGACUGAGCAGGACAUAAGGCACAGCAGCUGCCUUCACUUUGUUUCAGAAUAACUUUUUCAGCCCACAAGGCUGAAACACUUUCUGUGACUGAAAUGGCUCCAGCACAGCUAUUCCCUCGAAGACAUCCUCCAUGAUUUCUUGUGAUGCCUGUAAGACUGCUGAAGUUUCAGUUCAGAGAUAAACCAGAUACCAGAAUAAAGGAACAUAGACCAGUGAGACAUCUCCUGACCUCUGUUCCCAUCUGA